RNAcentral lists this ribosomal RNA (253 nucleotides) under uncultured bacterium. RNAcentral's name for it is "partial 16S ribosomal RNA". It matches the Rfam family "Bacterial small subunit ribosomal RNA", at positions 524 to 776 of the family's 1533-position model. The record is from RNAcentral.
UACGUAGGGGGCAAGCGUUGUCCGGAUUUACUGGGCGUAAAGGGCGCGUAGGCGGCGUGACAAGUCACUUGUGAAAUCUCCGGGCUUAACUCGGAACGGUCAAGUGAUACUGUCGUGCUAGAGUACAGAAGGGGCAACUGGAAUUCUCGGUGUAGCGGUGAAAUGCGUAGAUAUCGAGAGGAACACCUGCGGCGAAGGCGGGUUGCUGGGCUGAUACUGACGCUGAGGCGCGAAAGCUAGGGGAGCGAACGGG